RNAcentral lists this ribosomal RNA (485 nucleotides) under uncultured bacterium. RNAcentral describes it as "partial 16S ribosomal RNA". It matches the Rfam family "Bacterial small subunit ribosomal RNA", at positions 28 to 523 of the family's 1533-position model. The record is from RNAcentral.
GACGAACGCUGGCGGCGUGCCUAACACAUGCAAGUCGAGCGGGAUCCAUCCGGUAGCAAUACUGGUGAAGAUCUAGCGGCGAACGGGUGAGUAACACGUGAGAAACCUGCCCCAGACACUGGGAUAACACGAGGAAACUCGUGCUAAUACCGGAUACCUUCUUUUGGUCGCAUGGCCCGCUGAAGACAGAUUUAUCGGUUUGGGAGGGUCUCGCGGCCUAGCAGCUAGUUGGCGGGGUAACGGCCCACCAAGGCAUCGACGGGUAGCUGGUCUGAGAGGACGAUCAGCCACACUGGGACUGAGACACGGCCCAGACUCCUACGGGAGGCAGCAGUGGGGAAUCUUGCGCAAUGGGCGAAAGCCUGACGCAGCAACGCCGCGUGCGGGAUGAAGGCCUUCGGGUUGUAAACCGCUUACAGCAGGGAAGAAACUGACGGUACCUGCAGAAGAAGCCCCGGCCAACUACGUGCCAGCAGCCGCGGUAA